RNAcentral lists this transfer RNA (81 nucleotides) under bacterium. Its description in RNAcentral is "tRNA-Leu". It matches the Rfam family "tRNA". From Rfam's summary of the family: Transfer RNA (tRNA) molecules are approximately 80 nucleotides in length. The record is from RNAcentral.
GCCGCGGUGGCGAAAUGGCAGACGCGCACGGUUCAGGGCCGUGUGGGGUAACCCGUGAGAGUUCGACUCUCUCCCGCGGCA